This 289-nucleotide ribosomal RNA is filed under the name uncultured Mollicutes bacterium. RNAcentral's name for it is "partial 16S ribosomal RNA". It matches the Rfam family "Bacterial small subunit ribosomal RNA", at positions 1090 to 1382 of the family's 1533-position model. The record is from RNAcentral. Lineage: Bacteria; Bacillati; Mycoplasmatota; Mollicutes.
CAACGAGCGCAACCCUCAUUGUUAGUUACUACCAUUCAGUUGAGGACUCUAAUGAGACUGCCAACGACAGUUGGAGGAAGGUGGGAUGACGUCAAAUCAUCAUGCCCUUUAUGACCUGGGCUACAAACGUACUACAAUGGCCAAUACAAAGAGAUGCGAAGCGGUGACGUGGAGCGGACCUCAGAAAGUUGGUCUCAGUUCAGAUUGAAGUCUGCAACUCGACUUCAUGAAGGCGGAAUCGCUAGUAAUCGCGAGUCAGCAGAUCGCGGUGAAUACGUUCCCGGGCCUU